GCUUCCAUAGCCAAGCGGAAAGGCAGUUGGUUGCAACAUAAGCGAUCGGUCGUUCGAAUCGGCCUGGAAGCUCCA
RNAcentral lists this transfer RNA (75 nucleotides) under Oscillospiraceae bacterium. RNAcentral's name for it is "tRNA-Cys". It matches the Rfam family "tRNA". From Rfam's summary of the family: Transfer RNA (tRNA) molecules are approximately 80 nucleotides in length. Their secondary structure includes four short double-helical elements and three loops (D, anti-codon, and T loops). The record is from RNAcentral. Lineage: Bacteria; Bacillati; Bacillota; Clostridia; Eubacteriales; Oscillospiraceae.